AACGAACGCUGGCGGCAUGCCUAACACAUGCAAGUCGAACGAGACCUUCGGGUCUAGUGGCGCACGGGUGCGUAACGCGUGGGAACCUGCCCUUAGGUUCGUAAUAACUCCCCGAAAGGGGUGCUAAUACCGGAUAAUGUCUUCGGACCAAAGAUUUAUCGCCUUUGGAUGGGCCCGCGUUGGAUUAGCUAGUUGGUAGGGUAAAAGCCUACCAAGGCGACGAUCCAUAGCUGGUCUGAGAGGAUGAUCAGCCACACUGGGACUGAGACACGGCCCAGACUCCUACGGGAAGCAGCAGUGGGGAAUAUUGGACAAUGGGCGAAAGCCUGAUCCAGCAAUGCCGCGUGAGUGAUGAAGGCCUUAGGGUUGUAAAGCUCUUUUACCCGGGAUGAUAAUGACAGUACCGGGAGAAUAAGCUCCGGCUAACUCCGUG
Molecule: ribosomal RNA, 433 nt
Filed under: uncultured bacterium
Lineage: Bacteria
Description: partial 16S ribosomal RNA
Rfam family: Bacterial small subunit ribosomal RNA
Source: RNAcentral